AUCCAGCUGACGAGUUCCAAAUAGGACGAUACCCGCGUCCUGGAU
Molecule: non-coding RNA, 45 nt
Organism: Schistosoma margrebowiei
Lineage: Eukaryota; Metazoa; Platyhelminthes; Trematoda; Strigeidida; Schistosomatidae
Source: Rfam